This 302-nucleotide ribosomal RNA is filed under the name uncultured Methanosaeta sp. RNAcentral's name for it is "bacterial SSU rRNA". It matches the Rfam family "Archaeal small subunit ribosomal RNA", at positions 1040 to 1338 of the family's 1478-position model. The record is from RNAcentral. Lineage: Archaea; Methanobacteriati; Methanobacteriota; Methanomicrobia; Methanotrichales; Methanotrichaceae.
AACGAGCGAGACCCACGCCCACAGUUGCCAGCGUACUCUCUGGAGUGACGGGUACACGUGUGGGGACCGGCCGCUGCUAAAGCGGAGGAAGGAAUGGGCCAACGGUAGGUCAGUAUGCCCCGAAUAUCCCGGGCUACACGCGAGCUACAAUGGUUGGUACAAUGGGUAUCUACCCCGAAAGGGGACGGGAAUCUCCUAAAACCAAUCUUAGUUCGGAUUGAGGGCUGCAACUCGCCCUCAUGAAGCUGGAAUCCGUAGUAAUCGCGUUUCAACAGAACGCGGUGAAUACGUCCCUGCUCCUU